GACGAACGCUGGCGGCGUGCUUAACACAUGCAAGUCGAACGGAAAGGCCCUGCUUUUGUGGGGUGCUCGAGUGGCGAAGGGGUGAGUAACACGUGAGUAACCUGCCCCUGACUUUGGGAUAUCUUCAGGAAAAUGGGGCUAUUAUCGGAUAGGAGCUCCUGCUGCAUGGUGGGGGUUGGAAAGUUUCGGCGGUUGGGGAUGGACUCGCGGCUUAUCAGCUUGGUGGUGGGGUAGUGGCUUACCAAGGCUUUGACGGGUAGCCGGCCUGAGAGGGUGACCGGCCACAUUGGGACUGAGAUACGGCCCAGACUCCUACGGGAGGCAGCAGUGGGGAAUAUUGCACAAUGGGCGGAAGCCUGAUGCAGCAACGCCGCGUGCGGGAUGACGGCCUUCGGGUUGUAAACCGCUUUCGCCUGUGACGAAGCGUGAGUGACGGUAAUGGGUAAAGAAGCACCGGCUAACUACGUG
RNAcentral lists this ribosomal RNA (468 nucleotides) under uncultured bacterium. RNAcentral's name for it is "partial 16S ribosomal RNA". It matches the Rfam family "Bacterial small subunit ribosomal RNA", at positions 28 to 507 of the family's 1533-position model. The record is from RNAcentral.